GGUGAGUAACACGUGAGCAACCUGCCCCUGACUCUGGGAUAAGCCCGGGAAACUGGGUCUAAUACCGGAUACGACCGCCCCCGGCAUCGGGUGGUGGUGGAAAGUCUUUUCGGUUGGGGAUGGGCUCGCGGCCUAUCAGCUUGUUGGUGGGGUAGUGGCCUACCAAGGCGACGACGGGUAGCCGGCCUGAGAGGGCGACCGGCCACACUGGGACUGAGACACGGCCCAGACUCCUACGGGAGGCAGCAGUGGGGAAUAUUGCGCAAUGGGCGAAAGCCUGACGCAGCGACGCCGCGUGGGGGAUGACGGCCUUCGGGUUGUAAACCUCUUUCAGCAGGGACGAAGUUGACGUGUACCUGCAGAAGAAGCGCCGGCUAACUACGUGCCAGCAGCCGCGGUAAUACGUAGGGCGCAAGCGUUGUCCGGAAUUAUUGGGCGUAAAGAGCUCGUAGGUGGCUGGUCGCGUCUGCCGUGAAAGCCCGCAGCUUAACUGCGGGUCUGCGGUGGAUACGGGCCGGCUAGAGGUAGGUAGGGGCAAGUGGAAUUCCUGGUGUAGCGGUGAAAUGCGCAGAUAUCAGGAGGAACACCGGUGGCGAAGGCGGCUUGCUGGGCCUUACCUGACGCUGAGGAGCGAAAGCGUG
RNAcentral lists this ribosomal RNA (641 nucleotides) under Nonomuraea sp. KLBMP 1354. Its description in RNAcentral is "bacterial SSU rRNA". It matches the Rfam family "Bacterial small subunit ribosomal RNA", at positions 105 to 763 of the family's 1533-position model. The record is from RNAcentral. Lineage: Bacteria; Bacillati; Actinomycetota; Actinomycetes; Streptosporangiales; Streptosporangiaceae.